This 219-nucleotide ribosomal RNA is filed under the name uncultured bacterium. Its description in RNAcentral is "partial 16S ribosomal RNA". It matches the Rfam family "Bacterial small subunit ribosomal RNA", at positions 111 to 334 of the family's 1533-position model. The record is from RNAcentral.
UAAUGUAUGGGGAUCUGCCCGAUAGAGGGGAAUAACUACUGGAAACGGUGGCUAAUACCGCAUAAUGUCUACGGACCAAAGCAGGGGCUCUUCGGACCUUGCACUAUCGGAUGAACCCAUAUGGGAUUAGCUAGUGGUGGGGUAAAGGCUCACCUAGGCGACGAUCUCUAGCUGGUCUGAGAGGAUGAUCAGCCACACUGGGACUGAGACACGGCCCAG